RNAcentral lists this microRNA (18 nucleotides) under Callorhinchus milii (elephant shark). Its description in RNAcentral is "eshark_NOVEL_294". Lineage: Eukaryota; Metazoa; Chordata; Chondrichthyes; Chimaeriformes; Callorhinchidae. The record is from RNAcentral.
UGUACAUCGAUCAUCAUC